UUAGCAUAUCAAUAAGCGGAGGAAAAGAAACCAACAGGGAUUGCCCCAGUAACGGCGAGUGAAGCGGCAACAGCUCAAAUUUGAAAUCUGGCCCUUGCAGGGUCCGAGUUGUAAUUUGCAGAGGGUGCUUUGGCGUCGGCUGUGGUCUAAGUUCCUUGGAACAGGACGUCGCAGAGGGUGAGAAUCCCGUAUGUGGCCGCCAGUCUUCGCCGUGUAAAGCCCCUUCGACGAGUCGAGUUGUUUGGGAAUGCAGCUCUAAAUGGGAGGUAAAUUUCUUCUAAAGCUAAAUAUUGGCCAGAGACCGAUAGCGCACAAGUAGAGUGAUCGAAAGAUGAAAAGCACUUUGGAAAGAGAGUCAAAAAGCACGUGAAAUUGUUGAAAGGGAAGCGCUUGCAGCCAGACUUGCCCGCAGUUGCUCAUCCGGGCUCGCGCCCGGUGCACUCUUCUGCGGGCAGGCCAGCAUCAGUCCGGGCGGUCGGAUAAAGGUCUGCGGCAUGUACCUCCCCUCGGGGAGGACUUAUAGGGUAGACGACAUGCGACCAGCCUGGAUUGAGGUCCGCGCAUCUGCUAGGAUGCUGGCGUAAUGGCUGUAAGCGGCCCGUCUUGAAACACGGACCAAGGAGUCUAACAUCUAUGCGAGUGUUUGGGUGUCAAGCCCAAGCGCGCAAUGAAAGUGAACGGAGGUGGGAACCCCUCGGGGCGCACCAUCGACCGAUCCUGAUGUCUUCGGAUGGAUUUGAGUAAGAGCAUAGCUGUUGGGACCCGAAAGAUGGUGAACUAUGCCUGAAUAGGGUGAAGCCAGAGGAAACUCUGGUGGAGGCUCGCAGCGGUUCUGACGUGCAAAUCGAUCGUCAAAUUUGGGCAUAGGGGCGAAAGACUAAUCGAACUAUCUAGUAGCUGGUCUGCGA
This 908-nucleotide ribosomal RNA is filed under the name Pleospora iqbalii. Its description in RNAcentral is "LSU rRNA". It matches the Rfam family "Eukaryotic large subunit ribosomal RNA", at positions 35 to 961 of the family's 3401-position model. The record is from RNAcentral. Lineage: Eukaryota; Fungi; Ascomycota; Dothideomycetes; Pleosporales; Pleosporaceae.